UGGGUUAAGUCCCGUAACGAGCGCAACCCCUAUCCUUAUUUGCCAGCACGUCAUGGUGGGAACUAUAAGGAGACUGCCGGUGAUAAACCGGAGGAAGGCGGGGACGACGUCAAGUCAUCAUGGCCCUUACGACCAGGGCUACACACGUGCUACAAUGGGAAGGACAAAGAGCCGCGAAGCCGCGAGGUGUAGCUAAUCUCAUAAACCUUUUCGUAGUCCGGAUUGGAGUCUGCAACUCGACUCCAUGAAGUCGGAAUCGCUAGUAAUCGUAGAUCAGAAUGCUACGGUGAAUACGUUCCCGGGUCUUGUACACACCGCCCGUCAUACCAUGGGAGUGGGUUGCACCAGAAGUGGCUAGUCUAACUUAGUGAGGACGGUCACCACGGUGUGAUUCAUGACUGGGGUAAAGUCGUAACAAGGUAGCCCUACCGGAAGGUGGGGCUGGAUCACCUCCUUA
RNAcentral lists this ribosomal RNA (457 nucleotides) under Acidimicrobiales bacterium. RNAcentral's name for it is "bacterial SSU rRNA". It matches the Rfam family "Bacterial small subunit ribosomal RNA", at positions 1076 to 1533 of the family's 1533-position model. The record is from RNAcentral. Lineage: Bacteria; Bacillati; Actinomycetota; Acidimicrobiia; Acidimicrobiales.